AAGUUUAGGUUACAUCUAAACCCAGGACCUUCAAAGCCCUAAACCAGGGGCCCUGCCCCCUAACUUCUG
Molecule: transfer RNA, 69 nt
Filed under: Pachydactylus maculatus
Lineage: Eukaryota; Metazoa; Chordata; Lepidosauria; Squamata; Gekkonidae
Description: tRNA-Trp
Source: RNAcentral